RNA transcript from Fragaria vesca subsp. vesca, 3800 nucleotides. It is a transcript of the gene named TMV resistance protein N-like, with no coding region annotated. The record is from RefSeq and is a predicted model, not a curated record. The transcript has 4 exons. NCBI's taxonomy places the organism in Eukaryota, Viridiplantae, Streptophyta, Magnoliopsida, Rosales, Rosaceae.
CAUUUCUUCUUGAACUCCUCUUUCUCUCGAUCUGUGUACAAUUUCUUUUCUAGUGAUUGUGUCUUCGUAGCAGAAAUCUCACGAAACAAUCACUCUCCAAUGGCGUUGAGCACCGAACUCAGAGCAUCCUCUACUGGUUCUGCUUUCACAUGGAAAUACGACGUGUUUUUGAGCUUCAGAGGCACAGACACCCGCAAGGGCAUCACAGAUCACUUACACAAGGAGUUGGAGCGGCAAGGAAUCAGAACCUUCAGGGACGACCCAAAACUUGAAAGAGGCACACCCAUCUCCCCGGAGCUCCUCUUAGCAAUCGAGCAAUCCAGGUCAGCGAUCGUUGUUCUUUCUCCAAACUAUGCUACUUCCACAUGGUGCUUGCUUGAACUGUGUAAGAUUUUUGAAUGCAUGGAAGAGAGAGGUGCAAUUCUGCCAAUCUUUUAUAAGGUCAACCCGUCUCAUGUGAGAUAUCAAACGGGUAGCUUUGCUAAAGCGUUCAAUAAACAUAAAAAAGAGUUUGAGGAAGACAGCAAGAAGGUGCAAGGGUGGAGAGAUGCUUUAACAAAAGUGGCCAAUCUCGCUGGAUGGACAUCAAAUGAUUAUAGAUAUGAAACAGAUCUAAUCAAAGACGUUCUACUAGCACUGAGGAGCAAAGUGGACACUACUUAUACAAUAUUUGAUUCAUCUGAGAAGUUGGUCGGAAUGAACACUAAGCUGGAGGAAAUGAAUGUUCUUUUAGAUAGAAAAACAAAUGAUGUUCGCUUUAUAGGGAUAUGGGGGAUGGGUGGAAUUGGUAAGACAACCCUUGCUAGACAAGUUUAUGAGAAAAUCUCUCAUCAAUUUGAAGUUUGCAUCUUUGUUGCUAAUGUCAGAGAGGUUUCCACAACCCAUGGCCUUGUUUAUCUACAAAAGCAGAUUAUUUCACAGAUUUUGAAGGAAGAAAAUGUACAAGUAUGGGAUGUUUAUAGUGGAGUCACUAUGAUUAAGAGAUGUUUAUAUAAAAAGGCUGUUCUUCUAGUUCUUGAUGAUGUGGAUCAAGUAGAGCAAAUGGAAAAGUUGGUGGGAGAAGAAGACUGGUUUGGUUUGAGGAGUAGAAUCCUCAUUACAACUAGAUAUCGACAUCUACUAGUCACACAUGGUAUUGAAAUACCAUAUGAGUUGAAGGGAUUAAACGAUGAUGAUGCUCUCAAGCUCUUUAGUUUGAAAGCCUUUAGGAAAUAUGAGCCAGAAGAAGAUUUUGCAGAGCUCUCUAGGUGCUUUGUUAGCUAUGCCAGCGGUCUUCCCUUAGCUCUUAAGACUUUGGGGUCUUUCUUAAAUAAAAGAAGUCCAGAUGCAUGGAUUUCUGCAUUGGAAAAGCUUAGGAACACUCCCAACAGAACAGUUUUUGAUGUGCUGAAAGUAAGUUAUAAUGGACUCGAUGACAAGGAGAAGAAUUUUUUUCUGGACAUCGCAUGUUUUUCGUCGCAAUGUCAAGCCAAGUUUAUAAUUGAACUACUAUACAGUUCUGACAUUUGCACUCGUAUUACAAUAGAUGUUCUUGUUGAGAGAUGUCUCUUAACUGUUUCAGAUGACAAUGAAAUAGGUAUACAUGAUUUGAUACAAGAAAUGGGAUGUGACAUUGUUCGAGAAAAGUCUUGUCAUGAGCCUGGUGGACGCAGUCGGUUGUGGCUUCCCAAAGACAUUUUUCAUGUUUUCACCAAGAAUACGGGAACAGAAGCCGUUGAAGCCAUAUUCUUACACUUGCCUAAAUUAGAAGAGGCGAAUUGGAAUUCUGAAGGUUUCUCUAAAAUGUGUAAACUGAAGAUGCUCUACAUUCAUAAUUUGAGGCUUUCUCAUGGCCCAAAAUAUCUUUCUGAUGCCUUGACAUUUCUGAAUUGGAGCUGGUAUCCUUCAAAAUCUCUCCCACCAAGUUUUCAGCCAGAUGAACUUACUGAACUUAGUUUGGUCCAUAGCAAUGUCAAUCACCUGUGGGAUGAUGAUGAAACUAAAUACUUGGCCAAGUUGAAAUCUAUCGAUCUUAGUUACUCAGUCAAGUUGAGAAAGACCCCAGAUUUCACAGGUAUUCAAAACCUUGAGAAGUUGGUUCUUGAAGGUUGUACAAAUUUAGUUGAUAUUCAUCCAUCCAUUGCAUUUCUCAAGAGGCUCAAAAUUUUGAACCUUAGAAACUGCAAAAGUAUUAAGAGUUUCCCAAGUGAAGUAGAACUGGAAUCUCUUGAAACAUUUGAUGUAUCUGGGUGCUCAAAACUGCAAGUAAUUCCAGAAUUUUUGGGGCAGAUGAAUAGAUUAUCAAAGCUUUCUUUGAGUGGGACUGCUGUUAAGAAACUUCCUCCAUCAUAUGAGCACUUGAGUGAGAGUUUGGUGGAGCUUGAUUUGUGUGGAAUUGUUAUAAGAGAGCUGCCAUCCUCCCCCUUUCUUAAGCAGUAUCUCAGAUUAUUAUCUUUUGGCGUAUUUCCAAGAAAUAGUCUUCACCCUUUGAGUCCUCUAUUAUCUUCUUUGAAGCAUCUGACUUCUUUGACGACAUUAAAGCUGAAAAACUGUAAUCUUGGUGAAGGAGCAAUUCCAGAUGAUAUUGGUUCUCUGUCCUCCUUAGAGAAGUUGGACCUCAGAGGAAACAAUUUUGUUACCCUUCCUGCAAGCAUUCAUUUGCUUUUGAAGCUCAAAGAAAUUGUUGUGGAGAAUUGCAAAAGGCUACAACAACUGCCAGGCCUUCCAUCAACCGAGGGACUAGAGGUAAGAAUGGACAAUUGUACUUCUUUACAAGUGUUCCCAGAUCUACCAGCUUCGUGCAGCUUAUUGGAAUUUCAGCUCAGUUGCAUCAAUUGCUUGAACACGGUUGGUGAUCAAGAUUGUUGUUAUUUCAUAUAUUCAGUGCUAAAACGGUUGCUUGAGGUAAUCUCUUCUCUCCGACUUCCUUUCUCCCUUCUCUCCUUCAAUUGUUGUGUGAUAUGAUGGUUUCUGUGGUGCAGGGAACCCCUUGUUCUUUUGAGGAAUUCAGUUUUGUAAUUCCUGGAGGUGAAAUUGUUGAGUGGUUUAGUAAUCAAAGUGUAGGAGACUCUGUAGCUAUGAAGUUACCUUCAUAUGCAAGUAAUAGCUACAAGUGGAUUGGGGUUGCUGUAUGUGCUCUAUUUGUACCUCAAGACAAUCCGUCUGCGGUUCCUGAAGACGAUUAUUUAGAUUCUGAUAAAAAUAAAAUCAUAUGUACAUGGGAUGGUUCUAAAGUGUUGUCAGGUUUUGGUUCCGUUGUAACCCAAAUUGUUUCAGAUCACCUUUUCAUAGUUGUUUUAUCCAGUCAUCUCUGGAGACCUAGGAACUCUCUUGAGGACACAUGCAAUGAGGUGAAGUUCGCUUUCGAAACCACUCAAGCUGUAGGAAACAAGAGAUGCAUAAAGGUGAAGCAAUGUGCAGUCCGUGCACUGUACGAGCAUGAUAUGGAAGAGCUGAGCCGCAAUUCUGUUUACAUGGAAGAUACGGUGGAUUGUGGCUUUGAGAAAUCAGAAUAUGAACAAGGUGGUGGCAUCAUUAAGGGAACACCGGAGGCAGCACCGAGCACAAGUGGUGGAUGUGAGGAUGAGUACUACUCUGCUGAAGAGUGAAGAAACUUUAACAAACCGUCUUGCUUUAAAAGUUAAAACAUCCUGUGCCUCUACAAUGAUGGUUCUUCGAACUUCGAAGUAUAUAGAACCAGAUACUAGUGCGUCUGAUGUAGUUCGCUGCUAAGACACCUCUGUCUCUCUCUCUAGCUUGUCUUAUGUUUUGAAUGUAACGAAAAGAAAAUUAUGAAAUGAGUUGGAUGUAUUUUUGAUGUC